GCACCAGUGGAGCAAUCGGUCAGCGCGCGGUACUUAUAAUGCCGAGGUUGUGAGUUCGAGCCUCACCUGGAGCA
This 74-nucleotide transfer RNA is filed under the name Gadus morhua (Atlantic cod). RNAcentral's name for it is "tRNA-Ile (TAT) (tRNA-Ile-TAT-14-1)". It matches the Rfam family "tRNA". Rfam says of the family: Transfer RNA (tRNA) molecules are approximately 80 nucleotides in length. Their secondary structure includes four short double-helical elements and three loops (D, anti-codon, and T loops). The record is from RNAcentral. Lineage: Eukaryota; Metazoa; Chordata; Actinopteri; Gadiformes; Gadidae.